GGGACUGGCUGGGGGAAAAGAGGAAAUUUUGUCCCAGAAGGAACUGUCUGA
This 51-nucleotide small nucleolar RNA is filed under the name Erinaceus europaeus (western European hedgehog). Its description in RNAcentral is "Small nucleolar RNA SNORD22 (ENSEEUG00000023526.1)". It matches the Rfam family "Small nucleolar RNA SNORD22", at positions 71 to 121 of the family's 126-position model. From Rfam's summary of the family: U22 is a member of the C/D class of snoRNA which contain the C (UGAUGA) and D (CUGA) box motifs. The record is from RNAcentral. Lineage: Eukaryota; Metazoa; Chordata; Mammalia; Eulipotyphla; Erinaceidae.